This 376-nucleotide ribosomal RNA is filed under the name uncultured organism. RNAcentral's name for it is "partial 16S ribosomal RNA". It matches the Rfam family "Bacterial small subunit ribosomal RNA", at positions 526 to 896 of the family's 1533-position model. The record is from RNAcentral.
GUAGGUUGGCAAGCGUUGUCCGGAAGUUAUUGGGCGUAAAGCGCGCGCAGGUGGGUUCUUUAAGUCUGAUGUCGAAAGCCCCCGGGCUCAACCGGGGAGGGUCAUUGGAAACUGGGGAACUUGAGUGCAGGAGAGGAAAGUGGAAUUCCACGUGUAGCGGUGAAAUGCGUAGAUAUGUGGAGGAACACCAGUGGCGAAGGCGACUUUCUGGCCUGUAACUGACACUGAGGCGCGAAAGCGUGGGGAGCAAACAGGAUUAGAUACCCUGGUAGUCCACGCCGUAAACGAUGAGUGCUAAGUGUUGGGGGGUUUCCGCCCCUCAGUGCUGCAGCUAACGCAUUAAGCACUCCGCCUGGGGAGUACGGUCGCAAGACUG